CUGGCGGCGUGCCUAAUACAUGCAAGUCAACGGUCUUUCUAUGGAAGCUUGCUACCACUGAAAAGAUAGUGGCGAACGGGUGAGUAACACGUGGGUAACCUGCCCAUAAGAGGGGGAUAACAUCCGGAAACGGGUGCUAAUACCGCAUAGUUUUCUUGAUCGCAUGAUCGGGAAAGGAAAGACGGCCUUUGUGCUGUCGCUUAUGGAUGGACCCGCGGCGUAUUAGUUAGUUGGUGAGGUAACGGCUCACCAAGACGAUGAUACGUAGCCGACCUGAGAGGGUGAUCGGCCACAUUGGGACUGAGACACGGCCCAAACUCCUACGGGAGGCAGCAGUAGGGAAUCUUCCGCAAUGGACGAAAGUCUGACGGAGCAACGCCGCGUGAGUGAAGAAAAGGUUUUCGGAUCGUAAAACUCUGUUGUCAGAGAAGAACAAGUUGGAGAGUAACUGCUCCAGCCUUGACGGUAUCUGACCAGAAAGCCACGGCUAACUACGUGCCAGCCGCCGC
Molecule: ribosomal RNA, 509 nt
Filed under: uncultured bacterium
Lineage: Bacteria
Description: bacterial SSU rRNA
Rfam family: Bacterial small subunit ribosomal RNA
Source: RNAcentral